RNAcentral lists this ribosomal RNA (564 nucleotides) under uncultured bacterium. RNAcentral describes it as "partial 16S ribosomal RNA". It matches the Rfam family "Bacterial small subunit ribosomal RNA", at positions 355 to 1375 of the family's 1533-position model. The record is from RNAcentral.
UGGGGAAUAUUGGACAAUGGGCGCAAGCCUGAUCCAGCAAUGCCGCGUGAGUGAUGAAGGCCUUAGGGUUGUAAAGCUCUUUCGCACGCGACGAUGAUGACGGUAGCGUGAGAAGAAGCCCCGGCUAACUUCGUGCCAGCAGCCGCGGUAAUACGAAGGGGGCUAGCGUUGUUCGGAAUUACUGGGCGUAAAGGGCGCGUAGGCGGCCUGUUUAGUCAGAAGUGAAAGCCCCGGGCUCAACCUGGGAAUAGCUUUUGAUACUGGCAGGCUUGAGUUCCGGAGAGGAUGGUGGAAUUCCCAGUGUAGAGGUGAAAUUCGUAGAUAUUGGGAAGAACACCGGUGGCGAAGGCGGCCAUCUGGACGGACACUGACGCUGAGGCGCGAAAAGCGUGGGGAGCAAACAGGAUUAGAUACCCUGGUAGUCCACGCCGUAAAACGAUGAAUGCUAGACGUCGGGGUGCAUGCACUUCGGUGUCGCCGCUAACGCAUUAAGCAUUCCGCCUGGGGAGUACGGCCGCAAGGUUAAAAACUUAAAAUGAAUUGACGGGGUCAUAGCUGUUUCCU